GCGGAAGUGGCGAAAUUGGUAGACGCACCAGAUUUAGGUUCUGGCGCCGCGAGACGUAAGAGUUCAAGUCUCUUCUUCCGCACCA
This 85-nucleotide transfer RNA is filed under the name Vibrio cholerae. Its description in RNAcentral is "tRNA-Leu". It matches the Rfam family "tRNA". Rfam says of the family: Transfer RNA (tRNA) molecules are approximately 80 nucleotides in length. Lineage: Bacteria; Pseudomonadati; Pseudomonadota; Gammaproteobacteria; Vibrionales; Vibrionaceae. The record is from RNAcentral.